CUUGUCUGAUUAACUAUAAACAGGUAUUUUAACGGGAAAUAGCUCAUUAUUGCUAGAAGCUCAGACUUUGUAUUCCAUUAAAUAAACAGUAAGAUAAGACAUAUGGUGUCCAUUUUCACAUUAGACUAAGAUGUCUUGUUAUUUCUUAGGUGGGCAAAUUGCUUUUUCUUUCGCGUUAGUUAUAAUUGUCUGUAAGUCAAUUGUCAAAGCUAUUGGCUGUUAGGGGCACUUGUGAAUCAUGGAUUGUUCCAGCCGGCUUUUGCAGGCUCUUUAGUCCCACACCCUCCCUCUACAGCUGGGGAGGCUGAAGCCCAGGACAGCGUUUGGGUCAGAGCCAAGUAGCGAGUAGGUGCCAGGGUCACUGGUUCGAGCUCUCUGCACUCAUCCAGGACUAUUUCCAGGCAUCUUCCUGUAUUUCUCAGCAUGAGCCUUGAACGUCUAGACCAGGAAAGCCCAGGGCAAGGGGCUGGGAGCCCAGUGCCAGGCCUUUUCCUUCACUUAGGAGCACUGACCGACUCCUCUCUGUUGAGGUGUGCAGUCGCUCCUUUCCUGUCUGCCACAGGGCGUUUAUCAACUCAUGUUGACGUCAGCAGGGAUGCAAGAAUGCAGAAGCCCCAAAUCUGGGGCAAUAGGAUAAAUUUGGGAAGUAGCAUUUAAAUUCUUUCUGAGGGAAAACACAGUUUACAGAUUGCACUCAGCAGUAACAGGAUUCCCCCGUCGGGUGCUAUCACUUCCUAUGAAUGGGGCCCUGGAGGUCAGGGAUAAAAGGGCCUCCCUUUUUGUAACUGGGGGUUCCUUAGGCUUUUUUUUCCUCUUUAUGACUCAUUCUGAUGUGCCUUUAGGAAAAAAAAAUAACCUGACUCCUGAGUGCUUUGGUUAGAGCUUUCAAUCUUUAGGGCGCAAAGCACCUGGGAUCUUGUUAAAAUACAGAUUCUGAUUGAGCUGGUCUGGGGGGGCCUGGGAGUCUGCAUUUCUAACAGGCCGCCAGGGUGCCUGAGCGCAAACCUCACUCUGACUAGCAGAGCUUUAAUGGAGACCCUCAGUGGUUCAUCUCUCCAGCUCCUCCUGUGCGUGUGAGUUUUAAUUUAAUGCGGUGCCUGAGAGGGAAUUGAAAUAAUUCCUUCUGAGAACCUUGUCUUUUUUUUGGCUGAAUUAUUUGUGUGCUUUUAAUGAUAUGCAUGGCAGAACGCCCCACAGUUCUAUUUCUUUAGCCCUAUUUCUUUUUAAGUGUUGUGAAAGCGACGACAGUAACACUGCUUCAAUUUCUGAGUACAAUUCUUUAGGAUUUUGAAUGUAGACGGUGAGAGCCUAUUACUAAUCCAUGUUAAGAGCAGUCUAAGAAAAACCGCCAAGGAGUUUCAUAAAUGGUUAUCUCAGGCAAGUCCUUGGAGACCCUUCCUAGUUUAAAACAAAAAUACAAAUUGGUUCUACAAAGCAAGCAUAUCAGGGAGGAAAAAUGUGACGCCGGCAUGUUGGUUCCUGAUGUUACAGAUGCAUUCAAAAGCAUAUGAGGGAGAACAGACAUGUUUUUUACAAUACUGGGUUGUUGAUUUUUCUGCAGUAUAUCGGUUUGUUUUUUGAAAGGAUUCUUGGCUCCUUGAUGCUGUUCUUGCGUGAGUGGGGGUUGUGCGAUGACAGGACGCGGCCAGCUCAGGGUGGAGAGCCCAAGGCCCUGGAGGAAUGUGCUGUGUUAACAUCCGAAGGCACCAGAGCAACUGUACAUCACUUGAUGACGUGCUGGGUCACAGCUGGGGACAUUUACCAAGCCUGGUGAACACAACUGUUACACAGGGGUUUCAGCUAACACCAUUAGUGUUUUCCUUAUCAGCAAAGCAGUAUCAACAAGAAUUAGUUGUCUGCUGAACCAUAGAAAUAGCCUCAGUUUCUAAGGAGAGGAUGGUUGAGAAAAAUAACGAUAGUGAGAAGAGGAAGGCAGCCAGUCAUGGUGAAUAAGCCAAAUGCAUCUUUUAAAGACUUCCUCGACGUAUUCCACCCUUCCUCUCAGACAGUGGUCAAGAAUUGGCACCGUCCAGAAGACAAACAUCUUCCGGAGCAGUUACCUUACGCCUUCUACUGAGAAACACACACCGGGCAUUAUGCAAGUAUCAGUGAUGGCUUUGGACUUCGAGAAUUUGUGGCUUUUGGAGCUUGGUGAAAAUAACUUUUUUUAUCAUCUAUAAUCCAGUCAAAAGAUGAGUUUCAUCAUUUGUGAGAAUAUUUAGGCACAUUUAGUCAUUUGAGGAGUCAGGCAAGGAUGAAGGGUCUUCUUUUACUCCCUCUUUGUGGAAAUUUCUAGUAAUUCAAAGGCCAAAAUUUGACUGUGGAUGGCUCUUUUGGAAAUGGCUGGAUAUUACUGAUUUGCUUUUGUUAUCAUCGGAUGUCUUUCAAGGUAGUACAGUGAGUAAAACGCAUUUAAAAAACAUUUAAUCUCCUGCUACAACCUCUAUCUCUCAACUUGCAGAAAAUGUUGUCUUCAGUUUCAGAUGAUGAAUAUGCUCCUGUUUUCUGUAGACCGGCUCUGUCAAUGUUCACAUGGCUUUGGCUUCGUAGGAUGUCUGUGUUGUAACUGCUGUUUCAUCAAAAUGUGAAAUUGACCCUUUUUCUUUCUAAGUGUUCAGAAACCAGCAUACAGAUGAGAAAGGUUUCUGAGAACACAGUGGCGUACACCCAGAUCACAGCCUGCUGACGAGAUUCUGGCUCCUGUGUGUGGUCUAUUAAAGGGGGCAGUGAGCAAACCUAAAGUGCCUUUAAAAAUUAAUUCUGCAAAUAUUUUAAGUCUUUUAUCAAUGCCCAGUUGGGCUCUUGCUUCUGAAAUGGUCUUUUCAGCUGCAUUAGCACAAGUGAAAGUUUAUAAUUCCAAUCCCAAGACAAUGUCUUUUCUUCCAAGAAGGCUGAUCUCAGAGAGCUGAAUACACAACCCCCAUGCUAGACAUUUCCAUUGUCUUUUGAACCGUUCUCUUCCUGAACUAACCCCAGAUCUCAAAAGACAAGUGUCUUCGCUCGUUGGCAGGUGGAAUGGCUCAUGGUCAUCAAAGAGAACCUUGUGAAAGGAAUUCCCCUCGCCUAGGAAAGCUUCCUGAUUUUCCCCAGCAGCAGAUUCCUCCGUGAUGCUGGCUCACAUCAGCAUCAAGAUAAUGUGAUAAACUUCCAGCACAAGCCAUGUGGCUCUGUCAUCGCUCUUCUUCUCAUUCAUGUCAACAGAGGGUGAAAAAAUAUUCAAUUGGCUCUCACAGUCUUGGGGAUGAUUUAUUCCAUAUCAAAAGAGAAAGUGGGAAAGAAGCAAGGUAUAUUUAGUAGCAGGAAUUUCACCUACGGGGAUGCAAAUUCCUUAUUAUUUCAGACUUCUGCAUUAUAUUUAAGGGAUGGCAGAAGACAGGAAAACAGUUUAGAAAGAACCACAAAUCUUUUAUGUUUAAAUUCAAAGUUUUCAUUGAGGGGAGGAAAAAGGGCAAAAAGCACUGAAUGAGGAGUGAGUCUACCUGAAUUUGAGACCCCAUAAUGCUGUUCUCUGUAUUGUUGAGCAAGGUGCUAUAAACAGCAGGACCCGUUGGUUCGCAGUACUGACUGCACAUUAAGAUCUCAGGAUGGGAGCAGGCCUCAGGAGUGCCAAAAAGCUCCCCAGCUGAUGCUAAUGUGCAGCCACAGUUGAGCCAGCCGCUGCUCCAGCAGCUCACAGAAGUUUACUGAGGGAAUGAAUAUAUUUAUUUUCUGAGUCGUAUUUUCCUUAUCUUUAAAACAUGGCUAAUAAUGUCCUCUACAUCAGGCCAUUGUCAGGAUAAAACAAAAUCAUGCACUGACAGCAUUUCAGCAAUUGAGGUCAUUUACAGAUUUAAGCCACCAUAAUUUGUCUUUAUCCUUUCCAGUUUUCUAAAAAUUAAAAUUCCCAAGUAAAUUCUUGAAAACCACUUUUAGCCUUUUCUAAGGGGGAAAUUUCAAAGCGAUUCAUCUAGUUUUCUACGUUUAAAAUAACUGCACCCCACAUUCAUAUGGAUUUUUAUGUGCAUUUACAUUUUAACAUAAAAUUGAUUUUACUUCUUUUGCUAAGCCUUCCAAGGCUGUGCCUAGGCAGAAACUCAAACAGCAGAAUCAAGAAUCCACCUGGGUUUUAGACAUUUCUGAAUAGUGUGUGCAGAGCAUGGAGAAUCAACGAAAGAUCUCAAAUGAGUCAAACAACUGAUUGCCUAUUUGUCACUGGCCUUUACGCAGGGACUUUCCUCUGAAGAGCGGAUGGUGCUGGGUCAAAAACAUCAUCUGGUUAACGUUUCUGCAUCUUUAGAAGUCAUAGGCAAGGACACAAAGCCCUGAUUUGCCAGCAAAGGUGGAACUAGCAUUUCCAGGUAGGGACUGGCAAGGAUUCCCUCGGGAGAAUUCACACCCAGAGAUUCUGACAAUAGUCUUUCUGAAUGACAGGUCAGUAAAGGAAGUGAAGCCAGAUUAAUUUGGGGGGUGUUGUUCUCCCCUGAACGGCCCCAAGUAAAUGCAGUGCGGUAGGAAGAGUUAGUCGGGGGAUUGAUGGAGGCAAGGAUGGACACAGACAUUGGUGGACCACACUGAGCUCAAAUCUACUUGAUUUUCAUGGGCUUCUCAUAACAUUCCUCUGACACAAGAAGGAGGCACAAAUGAAUAGUGUGACUUGGAGUCAGUGGUUCUGCCAUCAACAAAGAAGUCACCAUAGCAACGCAUACGCCUGUGUUAUGCUGCACUCUGCCAGCCUCACGUGACGGACAUGACAGCUGAGAGGAUGCCAGGCACAGCCCGGGGGGAGCCGCAUCUCUGAGCGCGGUACCAGUGAUUUGGUGACUCCCUGUCAAGACUACCAUGUUGCACUGCCCCAGGAGCCAUAGACUGCAGUGCAAGUGGCAUCCCCUGGAGUUGUGCAGUGCACAGCCUGACUAACACAAGUGUCCCUCACUUUGGAGAACAGUGACAGGGCUUGAAGAGCAUUAGAGAGGAAAGAUGAUCUGAUCAAAGCAAACCCCUCGAAUCAGCGUUCAGAAUGAUGAACUUCAGCUCACAAAAGCUGUGGUGCACUUGCCGAUGUGCAACCCACCUAGAACCCCAGAGUGGGCAUGAGGAUUCUUUUAAACUGGGGACAUCUGGGAUUCACCAGAUGCAGAAAGAAGUCUUUCUGGAGUUUCUCUUAUCUGAUUAAAAGUAGAAACUUCUGAGAAAUGAAGCUGCCAUAAAUUCCCUCUUCUGAGUGCCUUUUAAUCCCAGGAAGGAGACCAAGAGAAAACCUACCAUGAAUCCCCAUUCCAGGGGAGCUUUACGGCCUGGAGGAAGACAGAGAGACCACCCACACCUGCAUCAACAAGCAUUAUCACAAGCCGUCCUCUCUCUCCUUUGUUCUUUUAGAAACCCAUUUGUAUUUCCCAUACAGGCCUUUUCUCCUUUCCCUUUUCCUUACUAAGCAAGGUAUAGAAGCUCUAAUUUUAGCCAUUUAUUCAGCUACUUCUUUUGUAAGCUCCCAUAUGCAUAGGAAUAAACAUUUUUCCCUGUUAACCUGUAUUUAUCAGCUUGAUUUGCAGUCCCCACUUACUGAACCUGAGAGGGGAAAGUUUUUCUUCCCUGAGACUACCCACUGGAGGCUGCUAUUAAGUAACCUUCUCUGGUGUCUAUGUCUUUCUCUGUCCCCUGUCCAGCCCCCUGCUCCCUAUUCUCUCUCAUGUUCCUAUUCACCUAAAAGAGAAAAGUCAAAUCGCUAAAAGAAAAAAUCAAAAAUUCGCAUCUAGAUAUUUUUGAAACUCGUCUCUCGGCGGCCGUCUUAGACCGAAUAUGCUCACGGCCUCCUGUAGCGGGUACCUGCGUCCUCAUGCAGCAGAAGGACGUGUGUUUCAUGGAUCAUGCCUUAUUUCCAUCCACUCUGGUAUUUGGAAAAAUUUAUCUGAGAAAUCUUUGUUCCUGUGUAGCCCUGACAUAAGUCUUUUCUCAUCUCAUAUUUUCAUUCCUACUUUUUUUCUUUCAGCAUUAGGAAUGCUUUCCUUUGUUUAAGCCUGUGCAUGAGGAAAAACCAGCCUGCUGUGUAAUCCUAACAAUAUUCAUAAAAGGGAAUUCUUGAUAAGUACCCUUGGCACACAGCACCCCUCAUCAUGUUGUAGGAAUCCAUGUGUGAGGAACAAAGCUGCUUGUUUAGUCUGUAAAUUGGCUAUUCUGACAACGGGGCAAUUUUGGCUUCUUUUGAAGCUUUACAAAGCUUUGCAGCGCAAAUCCUAGCAAGGAUUCUCAAUGAUGAGACUGCACUGAAGACAAUAAAUCCCAUGCACGGGGCUGGAAUACGCAUAAAGCAAUCAAAUGUACCACGUUCACGUGACGAACUGUUACAAAUGAGCAGUUAAGGUCGGGGGGGGGGGAUUGGAAGGCUUUACUGGACCUUCAAGCAUCACAGCAAAUUGUGUCUAAUAUAAUAACCACAUUGUUAAUAUUAUUGCAGCUAAGCCUUUUUAAAGCUUGCUACCUGUCUACGACUGUGCUAAGUGCUUUAAAUACAUUGUCUCACGAGGAAUUCUAUGAAUUAGGUCUUAUUAAUUCCAUUUCAGACAUGGGGAAACUGAGGAACGAUUAUGAAACCUGCCGGUGAGAGGCAAUGAUGGGAUUGGUACCCAGGCCCCACCACCACCUUGCCUCCCACCUCUUUCUCUUCCCAUCUUUAGCAUCAGCAACAUCCCACAUUGCUUUGGGGACCCGCUGAAUGUUAGAUUUGAAGGUCACUUAGGGAUCACACCCCACAUUGUCACCUUAUGGGUGACAAAGCAGAGGCUUAGAGAGGUUCCCUGGGUUCCUCAAGGUCAGCUUGCACAGAGUGAGGAGCAGGACUAAAGGCUCGCCACCACUCGUGUUAUGAGAACACUGAAUUUGCAUCCAAUUAAUUUUGCAGCCAACAGCUACAGCCUUUCAAUUUAGCCUGUGCUUUCAAAGUACGUGUCUUAUCAGCAGUAGAAGUGGGAUUUGUAAGCCUAAAUGCACCUCUUAAAAACCACACCGUGCUGGGAGAUGAAUCUUUGUAGUGCUUUAGGUAAAUGGUUUCUCCUGACAUUAGAGCCUGGACUUCGGGGCUGCAAGUGAGAGUCAUAAAGGCAAAAGCGAGGCAGAGAUUUGACUGGAUCUUCCGACAGGCACUUUGCAGACAUCAGUUCGGGCCUCGCAUAAUUCCAUCUGAACCAAGAAGACUCAAGAAUUCCGCGUCCCUUCCCUUCCCUUCUUUCCUUCUGGCACUGAGCAAGAAGGACGGCUGUAACUUCUGAGCACCUGAUGUGUGCUAAGCACUCUGCCAAGAACCCUGCACUCGUGCAUGCCUUCGUGCUCAUAAUCUUCCAUCCAACAACAUUCCUAGCCAGGUGCUGUUUUUCACCCCAUUUUACAGACGAGGAAACUGAGGUUUAAAGAAAUAAAGCAA
Non-coding RNA from Equus caballus (horse), 7393 nucleotides. The record is from RefSeq and is a predicted model, not a curated record. NCBI's taxonomy places the organism in Eukaryota, Metazoa, Chordata, Mammalia, Perissodactyla, Equidae.